RNAcentral lists this ribosomal RNA (301 nucleotides) under uncultured bacterium. RNAcentral's name for it is "partial 16S ribosomal RNA". It matches the Rfam family "Bacterial small subunit ribosomal RNA", at positions 509 to 807 of the family's 1533-position model. The record is from RNAcentral.
CAGUCGCCGCGGUAAUACGAGGGGGGCAAGCGUUGUUCGGAAUUAUUGGGCGUAAAGGGCGCGUAGGCGGUUUGGCAAGUUUGGUGUGAAAUCUUCGGGCUCAACUCGAAGUCUGCAUCGAAAACUGCCGGGCUUGAGUAUGGGAGAGGUGAGUGGAAUUUCCGGUGUAGCGGUGAAAUGCGUAGAUAUCGGAAGGAACACCAGUGGCGAAGGCGGCUACCUGGACUGACACUGACACUGAGGCGCGAAAGCGUGGGGAGCAAACAGGAUUAGAUACCCCUGUAGUCCCUGUCUCUUAUAC